Molecule: long non-coding RNA, 293 nt
Organism: Chiloscyllium plagiosum (whitespotted bambooshark)
Lineage: Eukaryota; Metazoa; Chordata; Chondrichthyes; Orectolobiformes; Hemiscylliidae
Source: RefSeq, a predicted model, not a curated record
GUUCCAAACGGCCGUCCGCGAGCUGCAGCGCGAGCGGCCGUGGGCCGCCUGCCGCCGGUGAAGCGGCCCCACAUCCGGAGACUUGACUACCCUGCCCUUACCUGAAGAAGAGGAAAACCAAAUGCUUUGCAAUGUUGAUGGAAGAAAGCCAAAGGUGGAAAAUAAUGCCAACAGAUUUACUCAGGAUAUGAUGGAAAUUAAUGGGAAAAAAUUAUUUUACAUAAAAUUAUGAUUUCAAACUUGCAGUUUCUGAUUUACAUUUACCAUGUUGAAAUAAAUAAUUUUCAAUUUGA